UUGGGAAUCUUGGACAAUGGGGGAAACCCUGAUCCAGCCAUGCCGCGUGAGUGAUGAAGGCCUUAGGGUUGUAAAACUCUUUCGGCGGGGACGAUAAUGACGGUACCCGCAGAAGAAGCUCCGGCUAACUUCGUGCCAGCAGCCGCGGUAAUACGAAGGGGGCUAGCGUUGUUCGGAAUUACUGGGCGUAAAGCGCGCGCAGGCGGCCAUUCAAGUCAGGGGUGAAAGCCCGGAGCUCAACUCCGGAAUUGCCCUUGAAACUGGGUGGCUUGAGUACGGGAGAGGUGAGUGGAAUUCCCAGUGUAGAGGUGAAAUUCGUAGAUAUUGGGAAGAACACCGGUGGCGAAGGCGGCUCACUGGCCCGUUACUGACGCUCAGGCGCGACAGCGUGGGGAUCAAACAGGAUUAGAUACCCCGUAGUCC
Molecule: ribosomal RNA, 423 nt
Filed under: uncultured bacterium
Lineage: Bacteria
Description: bacterial SSU rRNA
Rfam family: Bacterial small subunit ribosomal RNA
Source: RNAcentral